Small nucleolar RNA from Vigna unguiculata (cowpea), 85 nucleotides. RefSeq annotates it as small nucleolar RNA snoR113. NCBI's taxonomy places the organism in Eukaryota, Viridiplantae, Streptophyta, Magnoliopsida, Fabales, Fabaceae. The record is from RefSeq and is a predicted model, not a curated record.
UGGCGAUGAUGAAUAAAAGGCCGGAUUGCUGCCAUUUACUGGCAGUAGAAUGAUGAACUUCAUUGUUUAGGGUUUUCUGAGCCAA